Molecule: non-coding RNA, 1343 nt
Organism: Pelobates cultripes (western spadefoot toad)
Lineage: Eukaryota; Metazoa; Chordata; Amphibia; Anura; Pelobatidae
Source: the annotation of a GenBank genome assembly
CAUCUGUGUAUGCAGCUGCUUAUGCUUAUUUGUGCCUGUCCUGACGUGUUUCUAUUGAUUUAAGUGUUUGAGAUGAUAACACCCUUACUUAUCACUGUAAUGUAUUAUUCAUUUGAGAUGGUUUCUACUUUGUGUUAAGAUCACCUGGAAAAUGUACCAGGGACUUAGUGCCGGGAUUAGUCUGAACGUACAUCUUUCAUUGCUACCAAUAGGUUUAUGAAGUAGACCUGGAGAUUGUUUUGGCAAAAUCACAAUUCAGAUGAAUUUGGGCUAAUUGGCAAUUUGCCUGAACAAACUAACUCCAAGCUGCCACAUGCCCUAGUCCUGUAGCAACUGAAAUGGCCAAAUGGCUAAACUGUUUCAAUUGGUCAAUUGGACUAGCAGCCAGUGAGAAAAUAGUUUAAAACUGCCUGUGAUGGUCACUAUGACCCCCAAACUAACACAAGGGAAUUUAACUUACCUGCCCCAUGCCCCCAUGCCUGAGAAACCAUGCAAAGUUACUGGUCCAAAGAUCACAAGAGUUUAUACAGCCCAGGCCCUUGCAAUAGUUUUGAUAAUGUGCACUGUGUCAGGCGAGAUGCCAACACUAAUAAGAGGAUACAAGAAAUGAAGGUCACGGCUUGCGUCACUUUAGGUUAGUUGGAGCCAGAAUGACUUGCCUUCAACCUAGUAAAAAUGGCUCAAUAACUCAAUACUGUUGUGAUCGCGGCUAAAUCUAUGCAGCUGCGUCAAAAUGAAUUCAAGCUUGCUGAAUUGAUGUGAUUGUGCCAAAAUUGGAGUUAAGUUACUGAAUUGACUCAGCUGGAAUGUUUACCCUAGGACAGACAUAGUAAACCUUCGGCACUCCAGGUGUUUUGGACUACACCUCCCACGAUGCUUUGCCAGCAUUAUGGAUCUAAAAGCAUUAGGGGAGAUGUAGUCCACAACAUCUGGAGUGCUGAAGGUUUCAACCCCUGCCCUAAGACCAUGGUAAAAUUGUUGCAAUUGUGUCAGAACAGGUGAGUCUCCUUAUCAUUAGCUAGUAUUAAUUAAUGUGUGCUAUCAUAUGAAUUGUCUCCUUUCAUUAUAUUGCUAUAUCAAUAACUUCAAUCAUCUGAGUAUCUGAAUGUAGCUGCUUAGCGCCUAGGGCCGAAUCCAUGGGAAAAUCAGUUCCUAUGUUUAUGGUGAAUUUAUUUCUACUUUAGGACUCCUGACACAUUACUCUCUGUCAAAUAGGUGCUUGUUAUUACCUCUCAGGACUUAUACGCGCAGGAAGGUCUUUGAAUUACAUUUGAAAGAAAGACCAACAUUUGUAAGACGAAAGGUUUGCGUGUGUUCUGCAAAGUAUUACUGCUCUGAUAUAG